This 491-nucleotide ribosomal RNA is filed under the name uncultured bacterium. Its description in RNAcentral is "partial 16S ribosomal RNA". It matches the Rfam family "Bacterial small subunit ribosomal RNA", at positions 28 to 506 of the family's 1533-position model. The record is from RNAcentral.
GACGAACGCUGGCGGCGUGCUUAACACAUGCAAGUCGAACGGAAAGGCCCCCACUUUUUUGGUGGGGGUGCUCGAGUGGCGAACGGGUGAGUAACACGUGGGUGAUCUGCCCUGUACUUCGGGAUAAGCUUGGGAAACUGGGUCUAAUACCGGAUAGGACCAUGGUUUAGUGUCUCAUGGUGGAAAAAUUAUUGUUUUGGUGCAGGAUGAGCUCGCGGCCUAUCAGCUUGUUGGUGGGGUAAUGGCCUACCAAGGCGUCGACGGGUAGCCGGCCUGAGAGGGGGGACGGCCACAUUGGGACUGGGAUACGGCCCAGACUCCUACGGGAGGCAGCAGUGGGGAAUAUUGCACAAUGGGCGCAAGCCUGAUGCAGCGACGCCGCGUGGGGGAUGACGGCCUUCGGGUUGUAAACUCCUUUCGUUAGGGACGAAGCCGCACCUUUUUUGGGUGUGGUGACGGUACCUUUGUUAAGAAGCACCGGCUAACUACGU